Molecule: ribosomal RNA, 400 nt
Filed under: uncultured bacterium
Lineage: Bacteria
Description: bacterial SSU rRNA
Rfam family: Bacterial small subunit ribosomal RNA
Source: RNAcentral
GGGGAAUAUUGGACAAUGGGCGCAAGCCUGAUCCAGCCAUGCCGCGUGAGUGAUGAAGGCCCUAGGGUUGUAAAGCUCUUUUACCUGGGAAGAUAAUGACGGUACCAGGAGAAUAAGCCCCGGCUAACUUCGUGCCAGCAGCCGCGGUAAUACGAAGGGGGCUAGCGUUGUUCGGAAUCACUGGGCGUAAAGCGCACGUAGGCGGAUCUUUAAGUCAGGGGUGAAAUCCCGGGGCUCAACCUCGGAACUGCCUUUGAUACUGGGGAUCUCGAGUCCGGAAGAGGUAAGUGGAACUGCGAGUGUAGAGGUGAAAUUCGUAGAUAUUCGCAAGAACACCAGUGGCGAAGGCGGCUUACUGGUCCGGAACUGACGCUGAGGUGCGAAAGCGUGGGGAGCAAAC